RNAcentral lists this ribosomal RNA (592 nucleotides) under Sarcocystis rommeli. RNAcentral describes it as "SSU rRNA". It matches the Rfam family "Eukaryotic small subunit ribosomal RNA", at positions 420 to 1008 of the family's 1831-position model. Lineage: Eukaryota; Apicomplexa; Conoidasida; Eucoccidiorida; Sarcocystidae. The record is from RNAcentral.
GGAAGGCAGCAGGCGCGCAAAUUACCCAAUCCUGACUCAGGGAGGUAGUGACAAGAAAUAACAACACUGGAAAUUUUAUUUCUAGUGAUUGGAAUGAUGGGAAUCUAAACCCCUUUCAGAGUAACAAUUGGAGGGCAAGUCUGGUGCCAGCAGCCGCGGUAAUUCCAGCUCCAAUAGCGUAUAUUAAAGUUGUUGCGGUUAAAAAGCUCGUAGUUGGAUAUCUGCUGGAAGCAAUCAGUCCGCCCUAUUUAGGGUGUGCACUUGAUGAAUUCUGGCAUCUAUUAUUCCUAAUGUGCUGAUGACUUUCAGUAGUCAUCAGUGUUGGGAAUAAUACAGUUACUUUGAGAAAAUUAGAGUGUUUGAAGCAGGCUUAUUGCCUUGAAUACUGCAGCAUGGAAUAACAAUAUAGGAUUUCGGUUCUAUUUUGUUGGUUUCUAGGACUGAAAUAAUGGUUAAUAGGGACAGUUGGGGGCAUUCGUAUUUAACUGUCAGAGGUGAAAUUCUUAGAUUUGUUAAAGACGAACUACUGCGAAAGCAUUUGCCAAGGAUGUUUUCAUUAAUCAAGAACGAAAGUUAGGGGCUCGAAGACGAU